RNAcentral lists this long non-coding RNA (1279 nucleotides) under Phoenix dactylifera (date palm). RNAcentral's name for it is "long non-coding RNA (PDAC_LNC013246)". The record is from RNAcentral. Lineage: Eukaryota; Viridiplantae; Streptophyta; Magnoliopsida; Arecales; Arecaceae.
CCAAAUUUAAACAUGAGAAAAUGUGUUUUCCUUCAGCAUUUCAUUUUAAAUAAAUUAUUCAAGUUUGAUUGAUUUUCUUUAUUUUAUUGGUCGAGUUAAUGUUUGCAGGUCGAGUCGAACUCAUUUGGGAUAAUUUCUGAACCCAAAUUGCAUGCACCCCGCAAAUCAAGACCCUCUCAGAUUCAUCCCAACUCCCUUGUUACUUUCCCACAUUUGGCUCGACAAAACUUUCCUGCGUCACAUCUCAAUCACCUAAUUUCCUUCCCACACAUGUUCCCAGCUGAAUAGGAUCACAUCCCCUGUACCAAACUCUCGGAAUUCACUUCCCAGUCGCCCACCAGUCAUUUUUUUCAUAUCAUCUCCAUUUAAAAAUUCAAUAUUCCGAGUCGACCCCAAUUCCUUUUCUUCGCAUAUUCCUCCCAACGGCUUAUCUCCCCUUCAAGCCGUUCACGCUUCUUCCUCCCAUCUGCGUGUCUUCCCUCUUCCAAACCAAGCCAUCCUUUUCUUCCGGAUUUCUCCCAGCACUUUCCAAUCUUUCCGUGAUCCAUCCUCAUCCUCUUCACGCCAGUAAAUCUUCCACCUGCGAUCGAGUUCAUCUCUUCUUCAUCCCGUUCAAAAUCCAUGUCAUCAGAUUCAUGCUCUUCUCCUGUUUCGGAACCACUCCCAGCCGAAUCCAAACUCCCCUUAUCCAACGCCUUCCCAGCAUCCCAUCCAAGAUCCUCUCAACAUCCACUGUUUUCCCUUGUGUCGGAAUAGAGUCAAAAUACUGCUCCACGACCUCUGCCCUCUGCCCAUUCGCAGAUGAUUCUCCCUAGCUUCCAUAAUCUUCCCCUGCUUUGGAACAGAACCAGGAUCUUCUCAACGUCCCAGCCAUCUUCCGAAUUAAUCCUAACCAACUGCACGAACCAAGCCCUAUCCAAGCCCUUCCGUAUCUCCUCCGCGUUGAAGAAGCAUUAGCUUGUUCCAGAUCAGCUUGUAUCCCAGAUUUCCUUUCACAAAUCCAAACCAGUAGCAUCCAUCCACCGUCUGCAUGGAUCCGACUCCAUCCUUCCAGCUGCUCACCCGUGGAUCUAACUCAAAAGCCAUCCGGAUAUCCCGCUGCCAGGCAGGAUAGCAUCCCGAACAACCACCCAGUCGCUUCUUCUUCCGUUCAUCUUCAUCCCGUGAGCCAUAUCCUCCCUCCGGAUCACAUAUCCCAGCUGCCAUCCGAAUCCCCUGUUUCUUCGCGACCUCCUCCAUGUCCUUCCCGAACUCAUCAUCCCAAGGAAUAGAGCCGUCA